AUUCCAGCUCCAAUAGCGUAUAUUAAAGUUGUUGCAGUUAAAAAGCUCGUAGUUGAACUUCUGGCUAUUCUUCCAGCUGGCUUCGGUCGCUGUAAGAGUGGUCAUCCGCUUGGGAACUACGUUCGAACUUCACUGUUCGGCGUAAGGAACAGGCAUUUUACUUAGAAAAAAUUAGAGUGUUCAAGGCAGGCUAUCGCCCUGAAUACACAAGCUUGGAAUAAUGAAAUAGGACUAUUUCCAUUUUAUUGGUUAUUGGAAUUAGUAAUGAUUAAUAGGGACAGUUGGGGACAUUAGUAUUUAAUUGUCAGAGGUGAAAUUCUUGGAUUUAUUAAAGACUAACUUAUGGGAAAGCAUUUGUCAAGGAUGUUUUCAUCG
This is a ribosomal RNA of 375 nucleotides. It matches the Rfam family "Eukaryotic small subunit ribosomal RNA", at positions 582 to 975 of the family's 1831-position model.